AUUGAACGCUGGCGGCAUGCCUUACACAUGCAAGUCGAACGGUAGAGGGGGCAACCCCUCGAGAGUGGCGAACGGGUGAGUAAUAUAUCGGAACGUGCCCAGUCGUGGGGGAUAACGUAGCGAAAGUUACGCUAAUACCGCAUACGAUCUAAGGAUGAAAGCGGGGGAUCGCAAGACCUCGCGCGAUUGGAGCGGCCGAUAUCAGAUUAGGUAGGUUGGUGGGGUAAAGGCUCACCAAGCCAACGAUCUGUAGCUGGUCUGAGAGGACGACCAGCCACACGGGAACUGAGACACGGUCCAGAAUCCUACGGGAGGCAGCAGUGGGGAAUUUUGGACAAUGGACGCAAGUCUGAUCCAGCCAUUCCGCGUGCAGGAUGAAGGCCCUCGGGUUGUAAACUGCUUUUGUACGGAACGAAAAGGUCUCUCUUAAUACGGGGGGCUCAUGACGGUACCGUAAGAAUAAGCACCGGCUAACUACGUGCCAGCAGCCGCCGUAA
Molecule: ribosomal RNA, 497 nt
Filed under: uncultured bacterium
Lineage: Bacteria
Description: partial 16S ribosomal RNA
Rfam family: Bacterial small subunit ribosomal RNA
Source: RNAcentral